AGUGAACGCUGGCGGUAGGCCUAACACAUGCAAGUCGAACGGCAGCACAGUAAGAGCUUGCUCUUACGGGUGGCGAGUGGCGGACGGGUGAGGAAUACAUCGGAAUCUACUUUUUCGUGGGGGAUAACGUAGGGAAACUUACGCUAAUACCGCAUACGACCUACGGGUGAAAGCAGGGGAUCUUCGGACCUUGCGCGAUUGAAUGAGCCGAUGUCGGAUUAGCUAGUUGGCGGGGUAAAGGCCCACCAAGGCGACGAUCCGUAGCUGGUCUGAGAGGAUGAUCAGCCACACUGGAACUUGGACACAGUCCAGACUCCUACGGGAGGCAGCAGUGGGGAAUAUUGGACAAUGGGCGCAAGCCUGAUCCAGCCAUACCGCGUGGGUGAAGAAGGCCUUCGGGUUGUAAAGCCAUUUUGUUGGGAAAGAAAAGCGGCAGGUUAAUACCCCGCUGUUCUGACGGUACCCAAAGGAUAAGCACCGGCUAACUUCGUG
Molecule: ribosomal RNA, 492 nt
Filed under: uncultured bacterium
Lineage: Bacteria
Description: partial 16S ribosomal RNA
Rfam family: Bacterial small subunit ribosomal RNA
Source: RNAcentral